This 21-nucleotide microRNA is filed under the name Brachypodium distachyon (stiff brome). Its description in RNAcentral is "bdi-miR9495". Lineage: Eukaryota; Viridiplantae; Streptophyta; Magnoliopsida; Poales; Poaceae. The record is from miRBase by way of RNAcentral.
UGAAAAAUGCCUCUGGACGUG